RNAcentral lists this ribosomal RNA (250 nucleotides) under uncultured bacterium. Its description in RNAcentral is "partial 16S ribosomal RNA". It matches the Rfam family "Bacterial small subunit ribosomal RNA", at positions 524 to 772 of the family's 1533-position model. The record is from RNAcentral.
UACGUAGGGGGCGAGCGUUGUCCGGAUUCAUUGGGCGUAAAGAGCUCGUAGGCGGCUUGGUAAGUCGGGUGUGAAACCCCCAGGCUCAACCUGGGGCCGCCACCCGAUACUGCCAUGGCUAGAGUCCGGUAGGGGACCACGGAAUUCCUGGUGUAGCGGUGAAAUGCGCAGAUAUCAGGAGGAACACCGGUGGCGAAGGCGGUGGUCUGGGCCGGAACUGACGCUGAGGAGCGAAAGCGUGGGGAGCAAA